Molecule: ribosomal RNA, 254 nt
Filed under: uncultured bacterium
Lineage: Bacteria
Description: partial 16S ribosomal RNA
Rfam family: Bacterial small subunit ribosomal RNA
Source: RNAcentral
UACGGAGGAAGCAAGCGUUAUCCGGAAUUACUGGGCGUAAAGAGUUGCGUAGGUGGCAAAGUGUGUCAGUAGUGAAAGCGUGUGGCUCAACCAUAUAUACAUUACUGAAACUGCUUAGCUUGAGGACGAGAGAGGUUAUUGGAAUUCCCAGUGUAGGAGUGAAAUGCGUAGAUAUCGGGAGGAACACCUGUGGCGAAAGCGGCGCACUGGACCACAACUGACGCUGAGGCGCGAAAGCGUGGGGAGCAAACAGG